This 427-nucleotide ribosomal RNA is filed under the name uncultured bacterium. Its description in RNAcentral is "bacterial SSU rRNA". It matches the Rfam family "Bacterial small subunit ribosomal RNA", at positions 355 to 774 of the family's 1533-position model. The record is from RNAcentral.
UGGGGAAUUUUGGACAAUGGGCGCAAGCCUGAUCCAGCCAUUCCGCGUGCAGGACGAAGGCCUUCGGGUUGUAAACUGCUUUUGUACGGAACGAAAAGGCUCUGGCUAAUACCUGGGGCUCAUGACGGUACCGUAAGAAUAAGCACCGGCUAACUACGUGCCAGCAGCCGCGGUAAUACGUAGGGUGCAAGCGUUAAUCGGAAUUACUGGGCGUAAAGCGUGCGCAGGCGGUUAUGUAAGACAGAGGUGAAAUCCCCGGGCUCAACCUGGGAACUGCCUUUGUGACUGCAUAGCUGGAGUACGGCAGAGGGGGAUGGAAUUCCGCGUGUAGCAGUGAAAUGCGUAGAUAUGCGGAGGAACACCGAUGGCGAAGGCAAUCCCCUGGGCCUGUACUGACGCUCAUGCCCGAAAGCGUGGGGAGCAAACA